AGACCUACUGACCUAGUUUUUGACCGCACAUAACCCAGUUUCGAACUUAACUUAGAUAUCAUCAAGGUGAACAUUCUGACUAAUUUUCAUGAAGAUCCAUUGAGAAAUAUGGCCUCUAGAGAGGUCACAAGGUUUUUAUAUUUUAGAUCUACUGACCUAGUUUUUGACCCCACGUGACCCAGUUUCAAACUUGACCUAGAUAUCAUCAAGCUGAACAUUCUGACCAAUUUUCAUGAAGAUCUCAUGAAAAAUAUGGCCUCUAGAGAGGUCACAAGGUUUUUCUAUUUUUAGACCUACUGACCUAGUUUUUGACCGCAGGUGACCCAGUUUCAAACUUGACCUAGAUAUAAUCAAGAUGAACAUUCUGACCAAUUUUCAUAAAGAUCCCAUGAAAAAUGUGACCUCUAGAGUGGUCACAGGUGAGCUAGAAACAUAUUUACAUUUUAACUGAAAAGCUGUAUUUGAAUAACACAUUAAUAUGUGUCCUUCAAUGAGGAAGUUUUGAACAAUGACAAAACACACCCUAGACAUUAAACAUUGUACUGGAAUUUUAAAUGAAAUGUAAAUAUUUGGUGGCUAGGUUCCCAAGCAUUUCAGGGUGAGAGGUCCAAAAUAUCUGGAGGGAUUGCUGAUGUCACAAAUUGAAAAAAAGGACUUUUUAAACAAAUGUUGAUCUCCUUCCUUUUGUCUGCAUGUGGCAACAUCUUUAUAACAUUUUCCAGUGCUGUAACAACAUGACAUUUUCCAGUGCUGUAACAACAUGACAUUUUCCAGUGCUGUACCAACAUGUUAGUGUUGGUGAUCAUUUAUGAAGUGUUAAGAGGCUAGAGAAGUAGUAUAUUUUAUUUAGGUGUUUUUGUAAAAUAAGCAUUUGAAGAUAUCCAAUUUUCAUCUGCAUCAAUCAUUUACGUUUCGCCAUGGACAACAUUCCUUUUUGACUGCGAGUGCAAACCCUAGUGUAAACAGCCCCGCAAAAUGUCAAAAAGACAGCAGUUAUAUGUUAGACUAGAUGCCCACGGGCAACAUGUCGAGCCCGCCAGCUGUCAAAAGGACUAACAUUUAUGAUACUAUUUGGCGGCGACAGAACUGAUUGCGGCAAACAUUUCUGCCAUGUUAUUUAAGAACAUCACCAUCCAUGGCUAAGGUACAGCCCAGACAAGAGAAACUGCAUCAACUUUUGACCUUUGACCCCUAAGUGUGACCUUGACCUUUCAACUACUUACCCCUGACAGACUGUCUCAUUGAGGCAAAAAAUUGUGCCAAGUUAUUCAAGAAACCCUCAAUCCAAGGCUGAGCAACAGCGUGGACAGCACCAAGUUUUGACCUUUGACCUCAAAGUAUGACCUUGACCAUUAAGCUACCAAUCUGGUUCUUGCACGCGACAUACCGUGUCAUUGAGGCAGACAUAUGUGCCAAGUUAUUUAAGAAUCCUUUGAUCCAUAGAUAAGUUACAGCCUGGACAAACUCGGAAGGAUGCACGGACACAUCGAGUUACAGCUCGGACAAACUCAGACGGAUGGAUGCAAACACGCAGGCAUGCACGAACACACAUACACCGAACCGCCAUUGUGCGACUAUGUCGAGUUCACCGCCAGCCGGCACAACAAAAAAUAAUCAGUAAAUAUUUUUCAUUUCCUCUAGUGAAAACAGAAGAAAUUCUGGCUAUAACUCUUUGAUGUUACUAGUACUGACUUGGAGGCGGCAGUCAUAAUAUCUUUAAGGAUGGACUAAAUCAAAAGUGUUCCUUCAGGCGUGAAAAAAAAAUUGCUUGUUUCCGGUGUAACAGCCCAGUUUUUCCCCCUUAGUCAUUUUUUUCCCCGGGGAAAAAACCAACCGGUUGAUUUCCACCCCCCCACACCUCCCAUGGUUGGUUCCCCACCCCACCCCACCCUAGUUUUUGUGCAUAAACAAGGGAGAAAAAACCAACUGGUUGGUUUUUUCUCCCCCCUUAGUUUUUGUACAUAAACAAGGGUGAAAAAAAAACAACCGGUUGGUUUUUUCUGUCCCCUAGUUUUCGUAUAUAAACAAGGGAGAAAAAAACAACCGGUUGGUUUUUUCUUCCCCCUGGUUGUUUUUUUCCCCCUAGUUUUUGUGCAUAAACAACUGGUUGGUUUUUUCUCCCUUGUUUAUGCACAAAAACUAGGUGGGGGUGGGGUAGGGUGUGGAAACCAACCAGUCGAUUUUUCCCCGGGGAAAAAACUGACUGGGGAAGAAUCUGACCGUUACACCAGUAUCCCGACCUGCCUUAAAUUUUUGGCCCAACCCUAAAUGUUUUUAUGGCCUUGGAGAAUAUUUUUUUCAACUUUUUAACAAAAAGUUGCAAAACUGCACUUUUUAUGCUUUAAACAUGGUCAGUGAUGUGCUUUAGAAAUCAUCUUACUGAUGCUCUAAAGGCAUAUCCCCCUUAUUUGUAUUCAUUUUUUGACACGGAAAUAAUUUCCGAAAAGUCUGCCUUAAUAAAAAAAAAAUCCCCCCCAAAAAAAUUUCAGACCUACCUACCCUAAUUUUUUUGAGCAUGUUACCGGAAACAAAGAAUUUUUUUUUUUAGGCCUCAAGUUUUUGAAGGAACAAAUCGAAACCUACCUAGGUCUGGUUAUUGCCGCAUCAAUAAUGUUGUCACUGUUGCUGUAUUUUAUGCGCUUAUUCAUAGAAACUGGCAUAAAAGAUAUUAUUAUUAUUAUAAAGUAGGUUCAAGUAAAGGUUUUUGCUUGGGUACUUUUUCAUUUAACUUGGCUGUGGUGCAAUAGAAUCACAUUUGGUGUAAAUUAAACCUGCCAGUUGUUUUGUCUUUAUUAUAUACAAUUAGUCAGGAAUGUGCAUAUAUUUUUUAACCUGGCAAAUUAAAAUACAUGAGAGUCGAAUAAAAAAUCCCAGAUCUAGCUUCUGUUAUCAUGACCUGUACCUUUUUGUUUGUUGUUCUGUUAUCCAACGAAAUCUUCAUUGUUUAUCUAUGUUUAAAUAGAACUGAGUGUACUUUU
Molecule: long non-coding RNA, 2978 nt
Organism: Mercenaria mercenaria
Lineage: Eukaryota; Metazoa; Mollusca; Bivalvia; Venerida; Veneridae
Exons: 2
Source: RefSeq, a predicted model, not a curated record